GACGAACGCUGGCGGCGUGCUUAACACAUGCAAGUCGAACGGAAAGGCCCCUUUGGGGGUCCUCGAGUGGCGAACGGGUGAGUAACACGUGAGUAACCUGCCCUUGACUUCGGGAUAACUUCAGGAAACUGGGGCUAAUACCGGAUAGGAAUCCUUGCUGCAUGGUGGGGGUUGGAAAGCUUCGGCGGUUUUGGAUGGACUCGCGGCUUAUCAGCUUGUUGGUGGGGUAGUGGCUUACCAAGGCUUUGACGGGUAGCCGGCCUGAGAGGGCGACCGGCCACAUUGGGACUGGGAUACGGCCCAGACUCCUACGGGAGGCCGCAGUGGGGAAUAUUGCCCCAUGGGCGGAAGCCCGAUGCAGCAACGCCGCGGGCGGGAGGACGGCCUUCGGGUUGUAAACCGCUUUCAGCAGGGGCGAAGCUUGUGGUGACGGUACCUGCAGAAGAAGCACCGGCUAACUACGUG
RNAcentral lists this ribosomal RNA (465 nucleotides) under uncultured bacterium. RNAcentral describes it as "partial 16S ribosomal RNA". It matches the Rfam family "Bacterial small subunit ribosomal RNA", at positions 28 to 507 of the family's 1533-position model. The record is from RNAcentral.